Molecule: non-coding RNA, 28 nt
Filed under: Homo sapiens (human)
Lineage: Eukaryota; Metazoa; Chordata; Mammalia; Primates; Hominidae
Source: RNAcentral
UAUGAAGCCAUUUGUAAGGUACCUCGAA